AUACGGAGGAUGCGAGCGUUAUCCGGAUUUAUUGGGUUUAAAGGGUGCGCAGGCGGGCGAUUAAGUCAGCGGUGAAAGGCUCGGGCUCAACCGGAGCAGUGCCGUUGAUACUGGUUGUCUUGAAUGCGGUCAAGGCCGGCGGAAUGUGGCGUGUAGCGGUGAAAUGCAUAGAUAUGCCACAGAACACCGAUAGCGAAGGCAGGUGGCCGGGCCUGCAGUGACGCUGAGGCACGAAAGCGUGGGGAUCGAACAGGAUUAGAUACCCUGGUAGUCCACGCUGUAAACGAUGGACACUCGUUGUCGGCGACAGACAGUCGGCGGCCAAGCGAAAGUGAUAAGUGUCCCACCUGGGGAGUACGGUCGCAAGGCUGAAACUUAAAGGAAUUGACGGGG
This 393-nucleotide ribosomal RNA is filed under the name uncultured bacterium. RNAcentral describes it as "partial 16S ribosomal RNA". It matches the Rfam family "Bacterial small subunit ribosomal RNA", at positions 523 to 918 of the family's 1533-position model. The record is from RNAcentral.